AAGCAUCUCAUGGCUCUGCUGGGUGUUUUCAAAGUCAGUAACAGCCCAGCAACUUGGCUCAGGCAUGAGAGGCCUUGGACUUGGAGCUUUUAGUCUUGAUUGGUCUGCUGUGGCAUCUUUCUUGUUCAGCCCCCUCAUUAGCCCUUUCUUUGCCAUUGUCAAUGUUUUCCUGGGUUAUGUAUUGAUAAUCUACAUUGCCAUUCCCAUUGCUUACUGGGGACUAGACCUGUACAAUGCACACAGAUUUCCCAUAUUCUCUUCCCACUUGUUUACAGCCCAAGGCAAGAAGUAUGAUAUAACAGCUAUUGUUAAUGACAAGUUUGAGCUAGAUCUGCCAAAGUAUGAGGAGCAAGGAAGAAUUUAUUUGAGCAUGUUUUUUGCUCUUACUUAUGGGUUUGGUUUUGCAACCAUUGCGUCGACACUUACGCAUGUGGCUUUGUUCUAUGGAAGGGAGAUAUAUGAGAGAUAUCGAGCUUCUUACAAGGGCAAUGAGGAUAUCCAUACCAGAUUGAUG
Molecule: unclassified non-coding RNA, 514 nt
Filed under: Hevea brasiliensis (rubber tree)
Lineage: Eukaryota; Viridiplantae; Streptophyta; Magnoliopsida; Malpighiales; Euphorbiaceae
Source: RNAcentral